GCAGUGGUGGGUCAGGGGUUAAAGCCUCUGGAUUACUGCUCAGAAGGUCAGGAGUUCAAACUCCAAUACUGCC
Ameiurus melas (black bullhead) is the source of this 73-nucleotide non-coding RNA. Lineage: Eukaryota; Metazoa; Chordata; Actinopteri; Siluriformes; Ictaluridae. The record is from the annotation of a GenBank genome assembly.